AUUGAACGCUGGCGGCAUGCCUUACACAUGUAAGUCGAACGGUAACGGGCCUUCGGGUGCCGACGAGUGGCGAACGGGUGAGUAAUACAUCGGAACGUGCCCGAUCGUGGGGGAUAACGAGGCGAAAGCUUUGCUAAUACCGCAUACGAUCUACGGAUGAAAGCAGGGGACCGCAAGGCCUUGCGCGGACGGAGCGGCCGAUGGCAGAUUAGGUAGUUGGUGGGAUAAAAGCUUACCAAGCCGACGAUCUGUAGCUGGUCUGAGAGGAUGAUCAGCCACACUGGGACUGAGACACGGCCCAGACUCCUACGGGAGGCAGCAGUGGGGAAUUUUGGACAAUGGGCGCAAGCCUGAUCCAGCCAUGCCGCGUGCAGGAUGAAGGCCUUCGGGUUGUAAACUGCUUUUGUACGGAACGAAAAGCCUUCUUUUAAUACAGGAGGGUCAUGACGGUACCGUAAGAAUAAGCACCGGCUAACUACGUG
Molecule: ribosomal RNA, 482 nt
Filed under: uncultured bacterium
Lineage: Bacteria
Description: partial 16S ribosomal RNA
Rfam family: Bacterial small subunit ribosomal RNA
Source: RNAcentral